GUGCCAGCAGCCGCGGUAAUACGAGUUGUGCAAACGUUAUUCGGAAUCACUGGGCUUAAAGGGUGCGUAGGCGGCUACGAAAGUCAGGUGUGAAAUCCCUCGGCUCAACCGAGGAACUGCGCUUGAAACUGUGUAGCUUGAGGGAGACAGAGGUGAGCGGAACUGAUGGUGGAGCGGUGAAAUGCGUUGAUAUCAUCAGGAACACCGGUGGCGAAAGCGGCUCACUGGGUCUUAUCUGACGCUGAGGCACGAAAGCCAGGGGAGCAAACGGGAUUAGAAACCCUUGUAGUCC
Molecule: ribosomal RNA, 292 nt
Filed under: uncultured bacterium
Lineage: Bacteria
Description: partial 16S ribosomal RNA
Rfam family: Bacterial small subunit ribosomal RNA
Source: RNAcentral